UGGCUCAGGAUGAACGCUAGCGGCAGGCUUAACACAUGCAAGUCGAGGGGCAGCGGGGAGGAAGCUUGCUUUCUCCGCCGGCGACCGGCGCACGGGUGAGUAACACGUAUGCAACCUGCCCCUGUCAGGGGGACAACCCGCCGAAAGGCGGGCUAAACCCGCGUACAUGCCACCGGGGCAUCCCGGAGGCAGGAAAGGCUUCGGCCGGACAGGGAUGGGCAUGCGGCGCAUUAGGCAGUAGGCGGGGUAACGGCCCACCUAACCGACGAUGCGUAGGGGUUCUGAGAGGAAGGUCCCCCACACUGGUACUGAGACACGGACCAGACUCCUACGGGAGGCAGCAGUGAGGAAUAUUGGUCAAUGGUCGGGAGACUGAACCAGCCAAGCCGCGUGAGGGAGGAAGGUACAGAGUAUCGUAAACCUCUUUUGUCAGGGAACAAAGGCUGGGACGCGUCCCCGGAUAAGUGUACCUGAAGAAAAAGCAUCGGCUAACUCCGUGCCAGCAGCCGCGGUAAUACGGAGGAUGCGAGCGUUAUCCGGAUUUAUUGGGUUUAAAGGGUGCGCAGGCGGUCUGUUAAGUCAGCGGUCAAAGCCCGGGGCUCAACCCCGGCCCGCCGUUGAAACUGGCAGUCUCGAGUUGGAGAGAAGUAUGCGGAAUGCGCGGUGUAGCGGUGAAAUGCAUAGAUAUCGCGCAGAACUCCGAUUGCGAAGGCAGCAUGCCGGCUCCACACUGACGCUGAGGCACGAAAGCGUGGGUAUCGAACAGGAUUAGAUACCCUGGUAGUCCACGCAGUAAACGAUGAAUGCUGGCUGUCCGGGGGGACUGACCCCUGGGUGGCGAAGCGAAAGCGAUAAGCAUUCCACCUGGGGAGUACGCCGGCAACGGUGAAACUCAAAGGAAUUGACGGGGGCCCGCACAAGCGGAGGAACAUGUGGUUUAAUUCGAUGAUACGCGAGGAACCUUACCCGGGCUCAAACGGGGAGUGACUCAGGCAGAGACGCCUGUUUCCCACGGGACACUCCCCGAGGUGCUGCAUGGUUGUCGUCAGCUCGUGCCGUGAGGUGUCGGCUUAAGUGCCAUAACGAGCGCAACCCCCGCGUGCAGUUGCUAACAGAUAACGCUGAGGACUCUGCACGGACUGCCGGCGCAAGCCGCGAGGAAGGCGGGGAUGACGUCAAAUCAGCACGGCCCUUACGUCCGGGGCGACACACGUGUUACAAUGGGUGGUACAGCGGGAAGCCAGGCGGCGACGCCGAGCGGAACCCGAAAUCCACUCUCAGUUCGGAUCGGAGUCUGCAACCCGACUCCGUGAAGCUGGAUUCGCUAGUAAUCGCGCAUCAGCCAUGGCGCGGUGAAUACGUUCCCGGGCCUUGUACACACCGCCCGUCAAGCCAUGGGAGCCGAGGGCGCUUGAAGUGCGUCGCCGCGAGGCGCGCCCUAGAGCGAAAUCGGUGACUGGGGCUAAGUCGUAACAAGGUAGCCG
Molecule: ribosomal RNA, 1484 nt
Filed under: uncultured bacterium
Lineage: Bacteria
Description: 16S ribosomal RNA
Rfam family: Bacterial small subunit ribosomal RNA
Source: RNAcentral